RNAcentral lists this transfer RNA (70 nucleotides) under Sus scrofa (pig). It matches the Rfam family "tRNA". Rfam says of the family: Transfer RNA (tRNA) molecules are approximately 80 nucleotides in length. Their secondary structure includes four short double-helical elements and three loops (D, anti-codon, and T loops). The record is from Rfam by way of RNAcentral. Lineage: Eukaryota; Metazoa; Chordata; Mammalia; Artiodactyla; Suidae.
UCCCUGGGUCUAGUGGUCAGGACUCAGUGCUUUCACCACUGAGGCCCGGGUUCAAACCCUGGUCUGGGAA